Molecule: ribosomal RNA, 468 nt
Filed under: uncultured bacterium
Lineage: Bacteria
Description: partial 16S ribosomal RNA
Rfam family: Bacterial small subunit ribosomal RNA
Source: RNAcentral
GACGAACGCUGGCGGCGUGCUUAACACAUGCAAGUCGAACGGAAAGGCCCGGCUUUUGUGGGUUGCUCGAUUGCCGAACGGGUGAUUAACACGUGAUUAACCUGCCCUUGCCUUUGGGUUAAUUUCAGGAAACUGGGGCUAUUACCGGAUAGAAGCUCUUGCUGCAUGUUGGGGGUUGGAAAGUUUCGGCGGUUGGGGAUGGACUCGCGGCUUAUCAGCUUGUUGGUGGGGUAGUGGCUUACCAAGGCUUUGACGGGUAGCCGGCCUGAGAGGGUGACCGGCCACAUUGGGACUGAGAUACGGCCCAGACUCCUACGGGAGGCAGCAGUGGGGAAUAUUGCACAAUGGGCGGAAGCCUGAUGCAGCAACGCCGCGUGCGGGAUGACGGCCUUCGGGUUGUAAACCGCUUUCGCCUGUGACGAAGCGUGAGUGACGGUAAUGGGUAAAGAAGCACCGGCUAACUACGUG